RNAcentral lists this long non-coding RNA (324 nucleotides) under Equus caballus (horse). RNAcentral describes it as "lncRNA (ENSECAG00000048240.1)". The record is from RNAcentral. Lineage: Eukaryota; Metazoa; Chordata; Mammalia; Perissodactyla; Equidae.
GGAGCACUGAAUGCAGACGGCUCUGAGAGAAGCUUUAGCACAGUAUAAAAAAUUGAAACAUCCAGAAUGAAGAACACAACCAUCUGCUCUAUCCUUUAGCACCAUCCAUGCUGUCUGCAGAGGCUGCCAGUUUUGUGGAACACUGGGGCAGAGGAAAAGUUUGACAACUUGUUCGUGUGACCCAAGGAACAAGUGCCCAUGUUUACCUUGGAGGUUGGAAGAUGAGUUAAGACAGACGCUAGAGCAUAUGGGCCCUAAGGCAGCGACCACCCCUGGGACAUUUUUUCAUGGGUAUUUGAUGUACCAACUGUAAAGUUAGAUGGU